RNAcentral lists this long non-coding RNA (361 nucleotides) under Elaeis guineensis (African oil palm). RNAcentral's name for it is "long non-coding RNA (EGUI_LNC000492)". Lineage: Eukaryota; Viridiplantae; Streptophyta; Magnoliopsida; Arecales; Arecaceae. The record is from RNAcentral.
AGACUAUAUAUUUUUUCUCUAUCAGAGGCGGUAGACAAAGAAUGUCUUCCUUCUUGAAUAUCCAUAUGUUCAUUUUUUUUCUCCUUUGUGGUGGUGAGUAGAAGGGGAGGAUGUGGUUGCUACAGUAGUAUAGUGGCAUGGAGAGGAUGAGGCGGUGGCAAUGGAAGUGAAGUGACAUUGAGCAGCACUAAAAAUGAUUGAUGGAGGGUGCACUUGAUGGUGAAGGCUAUCACAAAGAUUAAGAGAGCAAAUAGUGAUGAGAGGGUGGAUCACUAUGGGACGUACGAGGGAGGUCAUUGGUCGAUAAAGGUGGAGGCUCGAGGGAGUUGAUUGGAUGGGUGGCGAGCAGUCCAUAUCUAGC